AGUUCAGGUCUUCCCACUUCAUCAUUCCUUCUCACAUACAUGCGGUUAGCGUCAGAGAGACUUACCAGGUUGCCACUGCUCUAUGUGAAACCCACAAGACACCUGACUACCAGAAAAUCCCAGGUCUUCCUAUGCAGCCUUGCUCUUCAAUACUUCCAGCUCCUGGAAUCUAACUAUACAGACUUUUGACCUUACAACAGGACAUUAUCAUCUACAGAGUUCACACUGGAGAAGCACACAAUAGAGCCAUAGAAAAAGAAACCACACACAAAGAGUCUCAUCCUGUUUUAGGUAAGUUUAUAAUUCUGAGUUAAAUGUUAUCUUUGGCCAUCCUGGGACACUUGUACCACAGGCUAGACAUACCUGUAUCUACCCUAUCACUGUGCUACAAGCAGGUCUAAUACUUAUGUUGACCUCAUCCAAACUCCAUAACACACAACACCUAUGAUGUCUUCUACCAGAAGAACAGAGACAGCAGGGUGAGAAUAAUCGCAAUAGGCAAUAAUGUCCAUGUGACUGCCACAACCCUAAGAGCUGAACAUGUAUCACCUAAUUUAAUGCUUGCCUCACAGAUAGAAACUGCUGUCUAACCUCCAUAUGAAUAUGAGGAUAUAAACAUGCACAGCUUUAAUGACUUGUCUCAGGCCAUAGAACUGGUAAGUAGAGGAAUCGGGGUUCAAACCCAGACCACUGGAUUACAUAGUCCCUACUCCUGAUGUCACCUUGAUGUCACAAUUCACAUUGUGUUCUUGGACUGGCCCUUAACCUUAUUGGCUUACACUCUUUGAAAACAUCUUGACAUUAACAUUGAACCCAUGGCCGUGUGCACUGAAUCCACUAAGAGAAGAGCCCAGCAUGCAGGAGGUACACGUGCGUCUUUUGCUUCCUUGGAUGGCUCUCACAUUCUCUCAGUCCCCCUUGGUACCUGUGUGACACCAAUUUUUCAGACAGUGGGCUUUCACUGUCCUGGGUGUCUCCUCUCUUUUUGCCUGCUGUGUCCCUUCUUGUUUAUGAUCUGCUUCCCUAUUCUCCAUCACUCACUUGCGGUCUCUCCAACUCAUCCUUGCUUCAUAAGGCAAGAGGCAGUACACAUCACCUGUGGUGGAACGGCCUCUCUGAGCAACAGGAGCGCGCACGAAACCUCAUUGCCUUCUCUGCUUCGGUAGAGGGAAGCAAGGCCUGAAGCACAGCCUGACACAAUCUAGUUCUGAUCCAGAGAGACUCACCUGGAGCACAGAAGCUCAGAGUCCAAGAGCCCACAAUCAUGGCAUGAAAGUAUUCACCCCCUACCUAAAGCUGAGGUCUCAGAGGGACAGGAGGAGGAGGAGUGGGAGAGCCUUGUUACUAUUCCUUAAUACCAUGAGGAACCAUCAACCAGACAAGCAGCACCAGGUAAGAUUUGGAGUGCACAUCUCCUCCAAGGAGGAGGCUGAGAUUCAGAAAGUAAUUGGCCAAAAAGAAGAAGGCAGGGACAUGUCUUGAUUGGAACUGUGCCCGAAGAUGCAGCACAACUGUGAACGCUUCUGUCCUCUGGGCUGUGCUGCUCUGGCAUGGUCCAGCUGCUCACCUGGGAAAGACAAGCGUGUGUGCCCUCUGCCCAGAAUGUGCCUAGCCAUUCAGGAUCUGGCUUAUUUCUCUGCACACACAGAGCCAUUUCUGGGUUUAAAACAGUCUCCUCAUGAGAAAGACACAAUGAUCACUAAAUAGUCAGUUCGGGGGAGAUCACCCAUAGUCUAAGAACCUUGGCUUCAUUUGAAAAGAAACUAACAACAGCAACAACAAAAAAUAACAGGCUGCUAUUCUCCUCUAAAGAGAUAAAAAAACAACGAUUUAUUUAAAAAAACAAACAAACAAACAAUGAUUAAUAGACAAGAUUCCAGGAAUGUCACUAUUGUGUACGUGGGGGUUACCCUUGCCCAGAGGCUGAGCCUUACAGGCAGGGUCCCUUGUUCAGUCAGAGAGCCGACGAGCCAGAUUGAGUUAUUCAUUAACUUCCUGUAUGAAAACCGAAUAAUAAAACUGAAGUGUGUUAAA
Molecule: non-coding RNA, 2034 nt
Organism: Rattus norvegicus (Norway rat)
Lineage: Eukaryota; Metazoa; Chordata; Mammalia; Rodentia; Muridae
Source: RefSeq, a predicted model, not a curated record